This 75-nucleotide transfer RNA is filed under the name Candidatus Nomurabacteria bacterium RIFCSPHIGHO2_01_FULL_37_110. Its description in RNAcentral is "tRNA-Glu". It matches the Rfam family "tRNA". From Rfam's summary of the family: Transfer RNA (tRNA) molecules are approximately 80 nucleotides in length. Their secondary structure includes four short double-helical elements and three loops (D, anti-codon, and T loops). Further hydrogen bonds mediate the characteristic L-shaped molecular structure. tRNAs have two regions of fundamental functional importance: the anti-codon, which is responsible for specific mRNA codon recognition, and the 3' end, to which the tRNAs corresponding amino acid is attached (by aminoacyl-tRNA synthetases). tRNAs cope with the degeneracy of the genetic code in two manners: having more than one tRNA (with a specific anti-codon) for a particular amino acid; and 'wobble' base-pairing, i.e. permitting non-standard base-pairing at the 3rd anti-codon position. Lineage: Bacteria; Candidatus Nomuraibacteriota. RNAcentral also lists the same sequence under 9 other names. The record is from RNAcentral.
GGCUCUAUCGUCUAACGGUUAGGACGAAUCCUUCUCAAGGAUUAAAUCGCGGUUCGAUUCCGCGUAGAGUCACAA